GACGACGCUGGCGGCGUGCCUAAUACAUGCAAGUCGAGCGGGGAUUAUGCUUGAUCGCUUCGGUGAGACGGCAGAUAUCCUAGCGGCGGACGGGGUGAGUAAACGCGUGGGUAAUCUACCUCGUAGUUCGGGGAUUAACAGGCCGAAAAGGCUUGCUAAUACCGGAUGAGUUCAUGCUUAUGCAUAUAGGCAUGAAGAAAGGGCUAGCCCGCUAUGAGAUGAGCCCGCGUCCCAUUAGCUUGUUGGUGGGGUAAUGGCCUACCAAGGCAACGAUGGGUAGCCGGCCUGAGAGGGUGUACGGCCACACUGGGACUGAGACACGGCCCAGACUCCUACGGGGGGCAGCAGUAGGGAAUUUUCGGCAAUGGGCGAAAGCCUGACCGAGCGACGCCGCGUGAGGGACGAAGGCCUUCGGGUUGUAAACCUCUGUCUGGGGGGAUGAGAACGGACGGUACCCCCGGAGGAAGCCCCGGCUAACUACGUG
Molecule: ribosomal RNA, 484 nt
Filed under: uncultured bacterium
Lineage: Bacteria
Description: bacterial SSU rRNA
Rfam family: Bacterial small subunit ribosomal RNA
Source: RNAcentral